GCUGGAACGCAGUAUCCAGCUCAUUGUGGUUCCAGACUCACAGGUGCUGGGAUUUUAGUGUUUAAUGUCAUGCUGGUUUGACCCUGUGCCCCUAAUCAUGCCGCCUCUCAAGUGUGAAACAGGCAUGGUCAACUGAGGCACAUCACCCAUGGUUUAGAACUGUUGGGUGACUUCUCUCAGUUUUAACUCACUGGAAUGUGUGUCUGGUAUCCUCAGUGCAGGGAACGUUUACAUCUGCCAGGAGAUUGAGUGCUGUCUUCAGUGAAAAACAGACAAGAGACCUCAGUAUGCGGUUCACAGGAGAACCAGCAACAGCCUGUGAGCCCUGAAGGCAGGGGCAGUGUUAUUUUGUUCAUUCAGACAGUAACGUGGCCGGGCGUGGUGGCGCACGCCUUUAAUCCCAGCACUCGGGAGGCAGAGGCAGGCGGAUUUCUGAGUUCGAGGCCAGCCUGGUCUACAAAGUGAGCUCCAGGACAGCCAGGGCGACACAGAGAAACCCUGUCUCGAAAAACCAAAAAAAAAAAAAAACCAAAAAAAAAAACCAAAAAAAAAAAAAACAAAAACAAAAACAAAAAAAAAAACCAAAAAACAGACAGUAACGUGAUCCUCACAGCUACCCAGCCUGUAGCCCGGAUCCGUGACCACAAGCUUACUGCCUACAGCUUAGUACACACUUACCGAGCAUUCUAUAAAGGUUGUCUGUCCUCCUCCUUAGAUGCCAUCUUUAAAGAAUUGAGUUUUUAAAAAAGAUUUUUUUAACGUGUGUCAUAAGAGAUGUUUUAUUAAACAGUCGUAAGUUCAGGCAAGGAUGAAGGGGUCGAGUUACUUUUUCUUACUUGCAGUCAAGUGUCAGUAUGUGCUGUUUUAUACAAUUCACUAUGUGAUGUGGGCCUUUGAAAACAGGAGACCGGCUCUGUGUACGGUUGAGAGCCCUUAAGUCACAGGUAGUGGUGGUUCAGUGCCUUGAUUCUUGAGUGCAGUGUCUCGUGGAAUCCUGUGUGUUUAACAUUCCCGGUCCCCUAUUGCUUAUCUCUGAGCAAAAGGACCCCCAUGCCUCCCACACCUGGAGAAACAAACCCAGCUGGGGAGACUUUCUGUUUCUGACAGCUAAGGGCUGGAGUCUGAGGCGGUCCACUGAUUCUGACAAUGGUGUGUGUCAGUCAUGUUAAUGGCCUAGUCAUCUGGUAUGGUUAGUUCAGACCGCUGUAGUGUGUAUGUAGAAGGACUUCUGAAGAGAAAAAGGCAGGAAGAGGGAAGAAGAGAGGAAGGCAGCCAUCAUUCAUUAGAUGCUGACCAGGGUCAGGACUGGUGCUGUGUGUACAUUCGUUCUUGUUGAGCAGUUUGAGACAAGGUUGGGGGAGCUGUUACUGAACCUACAAAGCUAACAGUUCAUUAAGAAUAGUCACAUUGCUGUCAUUGACUAUAGAUGAGUGUCCUAACCCUUAGCGUAAGAACCCCUCUCUGUGUAAAAGCAUCCCCAAUAAAGUUAGCCAGAAUAUCAAGUGUUUCUGAUUUUGGCUGACAUUGCAUUAGUGAAUUCUGAGUUGGAGAAGGGUCAGACUGUCUGAUUGACAGUGUGGCAGACCAAUCAAAAGGGGAGAAUUGGUUGUCACUUUCUAAAUGCAUUUUAUUUGAGAGAUGCCACAAUUUUCAAACCAUGAGACCCAUGGAGAUGGAAUUACCAGGGGUGUUAAUCCC
RNAcentral lists this long non-coding RNA (1698 nucleotides) under Mus musculus (house mouse). RNAcentral's name for it is "long non-coding RNA chr1:34032099-34033797". The record is from RNAcentral. Lineage: Eukaryota; Metazoa; Chordata; Mammalia; Rodentia; Muridae.